This 425-nucleotide ribosomal RNA is filed under the name uncultured Synechococcus sp. Its description in RNAcentral is "bacterial SSU rRNA". It matches the Rfam family "Bacterial small subunit ribosomal RNA", at positions 355 to 795 of the family's 1533-position model. The record is from RNAcentral. Lineage: Bacteria; Bacillati; Cyanobacteriota; Cyanophyceae; Synechococcales; Synechococcaceae.
UGGGGAAUUUUCCGCAAUGGGCGAAAGCCUGACGGAGCAACGCCGCGUGAGGGAUGAAGGCCUCUGGGCUGUAAACCUCUUUUAUCAAGGAAGAAGAUCUGACGGUACUUGAUGAAUAAGCCACGGCUAAUUCCGUGCCAGCAGCCGCGGUAAUACGGGAGUGGCAAGCGUUGUCCGGAAUUAUUGGGCGUAAAGCGUCCGCAGGCGGCCCUUCAAGUCUGCUGUUAAAAAGUGGAGCUUAACUCCAUCGUGGCAGUGGAAACUGAGGGGCUUGAGUGUGGUAGGGGCAGAGGGAAUUCCCGGUGUAGCGGUGAAAUGCGUAGAUAUCGGGAAGAACACCAGUGGCGAAGGCGCUCUGCUGGGCCAUCACUGACGCUCAUGGACGAAAGCCAGGGGAGCGAAAGGGAUUAGAUACCCCUGUAGUC